RNAcentral lists this ribosomal RNA (1264 nucleotides) under metagenome. RNAcentral's name for it is "bacterial LSU rRNA". It matches the Rfam family "Bacterial large subunit ribosomal RNA", at positions 1644 to 2925 of the family's 2925-position model. The record is from RNAcentral.
GUACCAUAACCGACACAGGUGGGUAAGUAGAGUAUACUAAGGGGCGCGAGAUAACUCUCUCUAAGGAACUCGGCAAAAUAACUCCGUAACUUCGGGAGAAGGAGUGCCUUAUUCUUAAGGUUGCAAUAACAAGAUCCAAGCAACUGUUUAUCAAAAACACAGGUCUCCGCUAAGUCGUAAGACGAUGUAUGGGGGCUGACGCCUGCCCAGUGCCAGAAGGUUAAAGAAGUCGGUUAGCAAUAGCAAAGCUGGUAACUGAAGCCCUGGUGAACGGCGGCCGUAACUAUAACGGUCCUAAGGUAGCGAAAUUCCUUGUCGGGUAAGUUCCGACCCGCACGAAAGGCGUAAUGAUUUGGAUGCUGUCUCGGAGAGGGGCUCGGUGAAAUAGACUUGUCUGUGAAGAUGCGGACUACCUGCACCAGGACAGAAAGACCCUAUGAAGCUUUACUGUAACUUGAAAUUGAAAUUGGACUUUAUUCGCGCAGUAUAGGUGGGAGGCGUUGAUUAUAAUCUUGUGGGAUUAUUGGAGCCAUCAGUGAGAUACCACUCUUGUAAUGUUAGAUUUCUAACUUUGAAUCAUUAUCUGGUCAAAGGACAGUUUCAGGCGGGCAGUUUGACUGGGGCGGUCGCCUCCUAAACGGUAACGGAGGCGUACAAAGGUUUCCUCUGAACGGUUAGAAAUCGUAUCUAGAGUGUAAAGGCAUAAGGAAGCUUGACUGUGAGACCUACAAGUCGAGCAGGGACGAAAGUCGGUCUUAGUGAUCUGACGGUACUGAGUGGAAAGGCCGUCACUCAACGGAUAAAAGUUACUCUAAGGAUAACAGGCUGAUCUCCCCCAAGAGUUCACAUCGACGGGGAGGUUUGGCACCUCGAUGUCGGCUCAUCGCAUCCUGGGGCGGUAGUACGUCCCAAGGGUUGGGCUGUUCGCCCAUGAAAGCGGUACGCGAGCUGGGUUCAGAACGUCGUGAGACAGUUCGGUCCAUAUCCGGUGUAGGCGCUAGAAUAUUGAGAGGAGCCUUCUUUAGUACGAGAGGACCGAGAAGGACAUACCUCUGGUGUACCAGUUAUCGUGCCAACGGUAAACGCUGGGUAGCUAUGUAUGGAGUGGAUAACCGCUGAAAGCAUCUAAGUGGGAAGCCCACCUCAAGAUAUGUAUUCUCAUCACGUAAGUGAGUAAGGUCACGGUAAGACUAACCGUUUGAUAGGCAUUAAGUGUAAGUACAGUAAUGUAUGUGCUGAGAUGUCCUAAUAGACCGAGGACUAG